ACCUCAAUUGAUCCCUUGUUCGCGCUGACACAGGAGUAAGCUCCACCGCCCGCUGUCCUGUUAUCCAUCACCUGCUGACCCACUCCACUCUAUGAUAUUUGCUCUUGAGCUGGUCCCCUCACUGUUCAGACGGAGUGUACUGCCAGAGGUGAGCGGGCCGGCAGAAGGCGCUGAGAUGGCAGUCGGUUCCGCUGUCCGGUGAUGGAGGCCACUCGUAGCCACGCGAGCUGCUUCCCUCCCCGGUCACAAUGCGGUGGCGCCCGGAGCGCCACGGCAGCGGUGAGUGACCAAGUUACUGGCAUGAACCCGAACCUCCCCUUCUCAAUGCUCCUGCCCUCCCCGCAACUUUACCCCUGGCUAGACUCCACACACGCUGUGAAAGAAACUAUCCUCCGAAUUAUCAUAUUACUCAUGACAUGUGACUCAUUUAUAAUUAUUUAUUUAUAUUUGUAUGAACAUUUUUCCUAAUUGGGCCCCGCACCUCCGAAAGCCGGCCCUGUGCUUAUAUAUUAAAGACAGAUGCAAAGUGAUGAAAUAACUCGGCAUCUCUGGAGUACAUGGAUAGGUGAUAUUUUGUGUCGGGAUACUUCCUCGCCUAUCUUUGAUAGAAAUCAGCAUCAGCAGUUUCGACAUUUGUUUCUAUAUUGUUCUGCACUGUUCUCUUAGAGUUGUUCUCUAAUGAUAGUUUAGUCUUAAAGAAGUGAGUGUGAAUAAAAAAUGUGAAAAAGAGCAACUUGGAUCUGCAUGCAGAAUGGAUUACUUUGUAUUCACCAGAAAGCAUGCUGUAGGAAUCUGUUACUAUAAUUACAUUAACAUGCUGUACACUUCAGACAUUUCAAAUUCAAUACACUAAAACAGCUUUAAUUUGCACUUUUUUGAUGUGUAGUUACAAAUUUCUUAACAGCAACCAAACUUUGUUCACUGAUAGCGAUUAACUUUGUGACGACUUCCCUGUUGACAGCAAUUGACGUUAUGAUGUUAAGGGAACAAAUCAUGCAGAAUACUGUAUGUCUGCACAUCAGACGUUUCAUUAUAUUACACACCUGUUUCAAAAAAAAUGAAACUUAAUUAUUCAAGACAAGUUUAAUAGGAAGGGUAAUCUAUUUGCAGUUUAAUUUUAGCUUUUUUUGCUUUAUCUACAUUUUGUAAAAAUGGACAUUGCAGAAAUACUCUGUGUUCUUGAACUCCCAUGGAUCUGUGAAAACUGCUCUUAAGAUUUCAUAGCACAACUUUGAGAACUGUUGAUACUGUUUUGUAUGUUACGCUAAAAAUACAUGAAGUGCUGGCAGGCAGGCAGCAUCUCUGGAGAUCAUGGAUAGGUGAUGUUUUGGGUCACGACCCUUCUUCCGUCAGAACAGAAUGGGAUCUGUCUUCAGUCUGAAGAAGGGGCCGGACUCAAAAAGUCGCUUAUCCGUGAUGUUGCCUGGCCCGCCAGUUACUCCAUCACUUUUUUUUGUAAACCAGCAUCUGAAGUUCCUGCAUCUACAGUGUAUGUUACCUUCAACAGGAAUCAGGCCAUUGCGUUGUGAUUCAGUUGGGUGGCUUUCUGUCUGAGAUAAAGUAUGGGAGACGACAACUCACGCUGUAGCAGGACGCCCACGACGCACGAUGAAUGUCUUGUUUGGAAUCGCCAAAGGCUGCUGGACUUUGUCCUUCGACUGGUCUUUGGAGCAAGGAUGUUGGGUUCCUGAAGAACCAUUUGAACUCUCAACUCAGUUUCCUGCAGCAACUCGCCAGAGACCCAAGUGCGAUCCUGACUACCAGUGCUACCUGCAUGGAGCUUGUACGUUCUCCCCGUGACCUCCGUGUGUUUUCUCCGGAAUCUCCAGUUUUCUCCCACACUCCAAAGACGUACAGGUAUGUAGGUUAAUUGACUUAUUAUUGUACAUUUCUGUAGUGUGUGUUGGUUAUGGUGCAGUGAUCAGUGGUCAGCCUGGACUCAGUGAGUCGAAGGGCCUGUUUCCACGCUGUAUCUCUAAACUAAACUAAACUAAAUCCUGCAGUGUUUCAGGUGCUUGGUAUCCUGUGCCAGCUCUUCCUCAAACAAUAUCUUAACCUUAGAGAAACAAAGAAAUGCAGGUGCUGGAUUACAACAAAAAACACAAUGUACUGGAAUAACAGCAGGGCAGGCAGCAUCUCUGGUGAACAUGAACAUGUGAUGUUUUGGGUCGGUCUCUUCUUCAGACUGCAGUUUCUCUUAUCUCCGUUUUAUGGACAUAUAUCUAUCUACCUGCUUUGUGAGGUUUUGUUCCUGUCCUGUUAUCUAAUUUAUAUUUCCUAAUUGGACAGAUCACUCCUUCAGGCUGUGAUGAUAGAACCUCAUUGUCCGCAGAGUGUGCAACAGUGAAGAGUGCACAGUGUGUAAAAGGGUCCCGACCUGAAACGUCACCUAUCCAUGUUCUCCAGAGAUGCUGCCUGACCCGUUGAGUUACUCCAGCUUUCUGUGUCCUUUUCUCAGAAUUAUUUUUUUAUUGAUCCUUGACCCCACUACACCGCACCAGUUAUUGCCACACCUGAAAGUUAAUUGCAAAACUGAAACUAUGAUAAAAUGCCGGUUUCAUCUAUCAUUGGUGAUGGAACCUUUUUGAUGUGGUGAAUUGAAAGUAAGGGGCAGCACAGUGGUGCAGCAGUAGAGUCGCUGCCUUACUGUGCCAGAGACCCGGGUUCAAUCCUGACCACGGGUGCUGUCUGUGUGGAGUUUGUACGUUCUCCCUGUGACUGCGUGGGUUUUCUCCAGGUGCUCUGAUUUUGUCCCACACUCCAAAUACAUACAGGUUUGUUGGUUCAUUGGCUUUGGUAUAAUUGUAAAUUUUCCCUA
Long non-coding RNA from Leucoraja erinaceus (little skate), 2818 nucleotides. RefSeq lists it as uncharacterized. The transcript has 3 exons. The record is from RefSeq and is a predicted model, not a curated record. Lineage: Eukaryota; Metazoa; Chordata; Chondrichthyes; Rajiformes; Rajidae.